GUAGUUGAAUUUUAGAUCGGGUGACUGCGGAAGGAUCAUUACUACAAUAAGGAAGGUCGGUCCAAUGAUUAAUAAAAUCGCUGCCGACAUGGUCCACAUCCUGAGAUUUAUGUUUACCAUAUUUUGUUUCCUCGGUGGGUUUGUUUACUCACCGUGUGAAAUGACCCCUUCAACCUUUUUGCAAUUUGUAGUCUACCUUCUGGAUUCUAUUAAAAUUAUUUACAACUUUCAACAAUGGAUUCUCUUGGUUCUGGCAUCGAUGAAGAACGCAGCGAAAUGCGAUAAGUAGUGUGAAUUGCAGAAUUCAGUGAAUCAUCGAAUCUUUGAACGCACAUUGCGCCCCUUGGUUAUUCCAUUGGGCAUGCCUGUUCGAGCGUCAUAAGUAAAUUCAAGCCCUGCUUGGUGUUGAGUGCCUGUCCCUGCCUUGUGCGCGGACUCUCUCGAAAACUAUUGGCGGUCCCCACAAGGGUUCUUUGCGCCAGCACAUGUAGCGCUCUAGCCCUGAUGUGGGUGGCAUCCAAGAAAAGCCUACUUCUGUUAGCUUGACCUCGGAUCAGGUAGGGAUACCCCGCUGAACUUAAGCAUAUCAAUAAGCGGAGGAAAAGAAACCAACAGGGAUUGCCCUAGUAACGGCGAGUGAAGCGGCAACAGCUCAAAUUUUGAAAUUCUGGCUCUCUUGUGGGGUCCGAGUUGUAAUUUGUAGAGGGCGCUUUGGCACUGAUGGCCGUCUAAGUUCCUUGGAACAGGACAUCACAGAGGGUGAGAAUCCCGUACGUGGUCGCUAAUCUUUUGCUGUGUAAAGCCCCUUCAACGAGUCGAGUUGUUUGGGAAUGCAGCUCUAAAUGGGAGGUAAAUUUCUUCUAAAGCUAAAUAUUGGCCAGAGACCGAUAGCGCACAAGUAGAGUGAUCGAAAGAUGAAAAGCACUUUGGAAAGAGAGUCAAAAAGCACGUGAAAUUGUUUGAAAGGGAAGCGCUUGGCCGCCAGACUUGCCUGUAGUUGCUCACCUAGGCGUUAACGCUCUGGGGCACUCUUCUGCAGGCAGGCCAGCAUCAGUUUGGGGCAGCCGGAUAAAGGUCUCUGACACGUUCCAUCCUUCGUAGAUGGCCAUAUAGGGGAGACGUCAUGCGGUUAGCCUGGACUGAGUUCCGCGCAUGCUCGAUGCGAAAGCGGAAAGGCUCUAACCGCCCCCUUUAAAAA
Molecule: ribosomal RNA, 1198 nt
Filed under: Ascomycota sp. L208
Lineage: Eukaryota; Fungi; Ascomycota
Description: eukaryotic LSU rRNA
Rfam family: Eukaryotic large subunit ribosomal RNA (bases 544-1198)
Source: RNAcentral